RNAcentral lists this transfer RNA (93 nucleotides) under Felis catus (domestic cat). It matches the Rfam family "tRNA". Rfam says of the family: Transfer RNA (tRNA) molecules are approximately 80 nucleotides in length. Their secondary structure includes four short double-helical elements and three loops (D, anti-codon, and T loops). The record is from Rfam by way of RNAcentral. Lineage: Eukaryota; Metazoa; Chordata; Mammalia; Carnivora; Felidae.
GCCCGGGUGGCUCAGUCGGUUGAGCGUCGAACUCUUGAUUCCAAGCUCAAGAGGUGAUCUCACGGUUCGCGGGUUCGAGCCCCGCUUUAGACU